UAACACGUGGAUAACCUACCUAUAAGACUGGGAUAACUUCUGGAAACCGGAGCUAAUACCGGAUAAUAUUUUGAACCGCAUGGUUCAAAAGUGAAAGACGGUCUUGCUGUCACUUAUAGAUGGAUCCGCGCUGCAUUAGCUAGUUGGUAAGGUAACUGCUUACCAAGGCAACGAUGCAUAGCCGACCUGAGAGGGUGAUCGGCCACACUGGAACUGAGACACGGUCCAG
This 229-nucleotide ribosomal RNA is filed under the name uncultured Staphylococcus sp. Its description in RNAcentral is "partial 16S ribosomal RNA". It matches the Rfam family "Bacterial small subunit ribosomal RNA", at positions 111 to 334 of the family's 1533-position model. Lineage: Bacteria; Bacillati; Bacillota; Bacilli; Caryophanales; Staphylococcaceae. The record is from RNAcentral.